RNAcentral lists this ribosomal RNA (250 nucleotides) under uncultured bacterium. Its description in RNAcentral is "partial 16S ribosomal RNA". It matches the Rfam family "Bacterial small subunit ribosomal RNA", at positions 30 to 278 of the family's 1533-position model. The record is from RNAcentral.
AUUGAACGCUGGCGGCAGGCCUAACACAUGCAAGUCGAGCGGUAGAGAGGUGCUUGCAUCUCUUGAGAGCGGCGGACGGGUGAGUAAUGCCUAGGAAUCUGCCCUAGUGGUGGGGGAUAACGUUCGGAAACGGACGCUAAUACCGCAUACGUCCUACGGAGAAAGACGGGGGAGUCUUCGGACCUCGCGCCAUUAGAUGAGCCUAGUCGGAUUAGCUAGUUGGUGAGGUAAUGGCUCACCAAGGACGACG